UAUCGGAUCCAGACUUUGAUUAUGGCUCAGGACGAACGCUGGCGGCGUGCCUAAUACAUGCAAGUCGAACGAGCUCUCCCAAAUUGAUUUUAUGCUUGCAUAAAUGAUUUUUGGAUUCGGAGCGAGUGGCGAACUGGUGAGUAACACGUGGGUAACCUGCCCCGAAGCGGGGGAUAACAUUUGGAAACAAAUGCUAAUACCGCAUAAUUAGUUGGAACCGCAUGGUUCCAACUUGAAAGAUGGCUCUGCUAUCACUUUGGGAUGGACCCGCGCCGUAUUAGUUAGUUGGUGAGAUAAAAGCCCACCAAGACGAUGAUACGUAGCCGACCUGAGAGGGUAAUCGGCCACAUUGGGACUGAGACACGGCCCAGACUCCUACGGGAGGCAGCAGUAGGGAAUCUUCCACAAUGGACGAAAGUCUGAUGGAGCAACGCCGCGUGAGUGAUGAAGGUUUUCGGAUCGUAAAACUCUGUUGUUAAAGAAGAACAAGUGUUAGAGUAACUGUUAACACUUUGACGGUAUUUAACCAGAAAGCCACGGCUAACUACGUGCCAGCAGCCGCGGUAAUACGUAGGGGGCAAGCGUUGUCCGGAUUUAUUGGGCGUAAAGCGAGCGCAGGCGGUUUUGUAAGUCUGCUGUGAAAGCCCUCAGCUCAACUGAGGAAGUGCAGUGGAAACUACAAAACUUGAGUACAGAAGAGGAAAGUGGAACUCCAUGUGUAGCGGUGAAAUGCGUAGAUAUAUGGAAGAACACCAGUGGCGAAGGCGGCUUUCUGGUCUGUUACUGACGCUGAGGCUCGAAAGCAUGGGUAGCGAACAGGAUUAGAUACCCUGGUAGUCCAUGCCGUAAACGAUGAAUACUAGGUGUUGGAGGGUUUCCGCCCUUCAGUGCCGCAGCUAACGCAUUAAGUAUUCCGCCUGGGGAGUACGACCGCAAGGUUGAAACUCAAAGGAAUUGACGGGGGCCCGCACAAGUGGUGGAGCAUGUGUUUAAUUCGAUGCUACGCGGAGACCUACAGCUCUUGACAUCUUCUGCCAACCCAAGAGAUUGGGCGUUCCCUUCGGGGACAGAAUGACAGGUGGUGCAUGUUGGCGUCAGCUCGGUCGUGGAUGUUGGUUAGUCCCGCAACGAGCGCAACCCUUAUUAUUAGUUGCCAGCAUUUAGUUGGGCACUCUAGUGAGACUGCCGGUGAUAAACCGGAGGAAGGUGGGGACGACGUCAAAUCAUCAUGCCCCUUAUGAGCUGGGCUACACACGUGCUACAAUGGAUGGUACAACGAGUCGCAAAACCGCGAGGUCAAGCUAAUCUCUUAAAGCCAUUCUCAGUUCGGAUUGCAGGCUGCAACUCGCCUGCAUGAAGUUGGAAUCACUAGUAA
This 1375-nucleotide ribosomal RNA is filed under the name Apilactobacillus kunkeei. RNAcentral's name for it is "bacterial SSU rRNA". It matches the Rfam family "Bacterial small subunit ribosomal RNA", at positions 1 to 1341 of the family's 1533-position model. The record is from RNAcentral. Lineage: Bacteria; Bacillati; Bacillota; Bacilli; Lactobacillales; Lactobacillaceae.